Molecule: ribosomal RNA, 493 nt
Filed under: uncultured bacterium
Lineage: Bacteria
Description: partial 16S ribosomal RNA
Rfam family: Bacterial small subunit ribosomal RNA
Source: RNAcentral
GACGAACGCUGGCGGCGCGCUUAACACAUGCAAGUCGAACGGAAAGGCCUGCUUUCCCUUGUGGAUUGCGGGUACUCGAGUGGCGAACGGGUGAGUAACACGUGAGUGAUCUGCCCCCGACUUGGGUAUAAGCCUGGGAAACUGGGUCUAAUUCCCGAUAGGACUGCAGGGUGGUGCCUGUGGUGGAAAACGAUUUUCUAGUGGUUGGGGAUGAGCUCGCGGCCUAUCAGCUUGUUGGUGGGGUAAUGGCCUACCAAGGCGGCGACGGGUAGCCGGCCUGGGAGGGUGGACGGCCACAUUGGGACUGGGAUACGGCCCAGACUCCUACGGGAGGCAGCAGUGGGGAAUAUUGCACAAUGGGCGGAAGCCUGAUGCAGCGACGCCGCGUGGGGGAUGACGGCCUUCGGGUUGUAAACUCCUUUCGACCGCGAGGAAGCCACCUGGUUGGAAGGGUGGUGACGGUAGUGGUAGAAGAAGCACCGGCGAACUACGG